This 468-nucleotide ribosomal RNA is filed under the name uncultured bacterium. RNAcentral describes it as "partial 16S ribosomal RNA". It matches the Rfam family "Bacterial small subunit ribosomal RNA", at positions 28 to 507 of the family's 1533-position model. The record is from RNAcentral.
GACGAACGCUGGCGGCGUGCUUAACACAUGCAAGUCGAACGGAAAGGCCCUGCUUUUGUGGGGUGCUCGAGUGGCGAACGGGUGAGUAACACGUGAGUAACCUGCCCUUGACUUUGGGAUAACUUCAGGAAACUGGGGCUAAUACCGGAUAGGAGCUCCUGCUGCAUGGUGGGGGUUGGAAAGUUUCGGCGGUUGGGGAUGGACUCGCGGCUUAUCAGCUUGUUGGUGGGGUAGUGGCUUACCAAGGCUUUGACGGGUAGCCGUCCUGAGAGGGUGAACGGCCACAUUGGGACUGAGAGACGGCCCAGACUCCUACGGGAGGCAGCAGUGGGGAAUAUUGCACAAUGGGCGGAAGCCUGAUGCAGCAACGCCGCGUGCGGGAUGACGGCCUUCGGGUUGUAAACCGCUUUCGCCUGUGACGAAGCGUGAGUGACGGUAAUGGGUAAAGAAGCACCGGCUAACUACGUG